RNAcentral lists this long non-coding RNA (537 nucleotides) under Homo sapiens (human). RNAcentral describes it as "HSALNT0389762". Lineage: Eukaryota; Metazoa; Chordata; Mammalia; Primates; Hominidae. The record is from RNAcentral.
UUUUUUUUGCAGGGGGUGAUUGUGGUACUGAGAUAGGUGAAUGCUAAAGCUUCUAUGUUGACUUUUUCAAUCUCAGGCACUGAGCAAAGUAGCCAUCCAUUAGCAGCCUCUUGGGAGGCAGGGCUCACAGCAGGGCUGAGUGAAGGUGGUGAGGUUGAGGGUCUCCAGGCCCGGAGUUGGCUGGCAGGAGUUGAGCAGGAAGCAGGUGGGCACGCAGGGCUGAGGAAUGUGGCAGGGUGGGGGACAGUUGUCACAGCAGAUGGGCUCCAGUAACCAAACUGUGUGUGGGCAGGUGCUGGGUAGGCAGACUCCACAGCGGCAGCUUUUAUCAAAUGAGCAGAAGGUGGUGGCAGGGCCGGUGGGGACGCUGCAGGAGCGGAGAGCACAGCAAUACAUGGCAAUGGGAGGUGGGUUUUUGUUGAGUUGAGAGAAGUCUGUUGGUGUCUCGAUGCUCCUCUCUUCUGCUCUGGCUCUUAUAUACCCAUCUCCCUGGGCGUCAGCCUAUUACUGAGGGUUUUUCCCCCAUGUUUCAGUUUA